GCGCCACCGGCUCAGCCUCGCGGCGGGGGAAACCCGAGCUCCCAACAAAACGGUUCCAUCUUUGGCUAGGCCUUUGGCACCAAAGAAGGCCCAGAGAGGUUUAACAACUUCCUCAGAAUCACACAGCUUCCAAAUGGUUGGGUUGGGUUUACAUUUAGGCGGUCUUGCUCCAGAGCCAGUGCUCCUAACCUUUGCAAGCCACGAACCUCAAGAAAGUGGAGAAGGAAACGCUGGGAAAUCUGGAAGUCAGACAUGAGAGCUAAUGCUGGCAGCUGUUGGGAUGUCCUCUUCCAGGAAUGGUGAUGAGUUUCCCUGGAUCCAGCCCUGGCUUGGCUGAGAUGAUGAAGGUUUAAGAAGCAGCAUCAUCAGCGAACUGUGUUUUGAAGAUUUGAGGGAAGGGCUGACCUCAGGAUUUUAUACUAGGUAUUUGAUGCAAUGCAGACUGGAAUCCUCCCCACAAGGAUGCCCUGGCCUGAGUGGCACAGAGAUCAAUGCAGCAGUCAUUUCCUGGGCGGGGAAAGCCCAUCCACAGUGGCCCUGGAAUGAUGCUGGUCUUACCUUCUAUUCCUAGGAAGGCCCUAUCUCAAGUGGCUCUGGUCCAUGCAAACAGAUGGAAACGGGUGUGGGGAAGCACAGGCCUCCUACUCAUGUUAAGAGAGCUGCUCAGAGGCAGGAAUCCAGAACCAGGAAUGUCCCCAGUGGCUGCCCAAGGUACAAGUGGCAGGCAGCGGGGAGAAUGGCAUGUGAAGUCAUUUGUAACCUGGCCCCAGCUUGGUUUCCAAGUCUCAGAGGAGAUUAUGGAUAUGGUAGUGCCUGGCUCAGUGCUUAAAAUCCAUUCUCCUGCUAUUUCCCUCACCUACACUCAGCCCCACAAGCCGAGAUGUUUGCUGGACAUUUCAGGCACUGCCACCCAGUUCUGUCUACCUUACCUGCUAACACCUGUUGACCAUCCUUCAUGUGAAGGCUUCCCCAAAUACUUCCCAAUCAAAACACUAAAAGGCAGACCUGAAAUUAAUAAAAA
This 1021-nucleotide long non-coding RNA is filed under the name Homo sapiens (human). RNAcentral describes it as "long intergenic non-protein coding RNA 2028". The record is from RNAcentral. Lineage: Eukaryota; Metazoa; Chordata; Mammalia; Primates; Hominidae.